CCCACCUGAUGUUGUGGUCAAAAGAAAAAAGAAAAAAACUGAUACAUAGCGGUAACUUUAGGGUGAAAGGUUGUGCAUUUUUCACUGUCAUAUGGGAAAAGAAAUAAAUAGAAGAUUGAUAAGUGACAAAACCAAUCAGGAACUGUCAGGGUUGGGUGGGAUACGCCUCACAAGUUCCGCCCUUGGGUAGAGUUGGGUGUGGCAGAACAAAAAAAAAAAACGUAGUCUGGACAGAGAUUAGAAGAGCUAAAUGGUUUGGGAAUCUACCAGGGUAGCGUGAGCGGAAAAGGUAAAAGGCACUGUAGAAUUGAAAUUGGAUACACGGCAUAGCGACUACAAAUACAGUCGCUAGGGAAAGGAAGGAAAAGAACUGGCACUAAUUGAAAAUUUGGCGUGGUAGUGAGUGAAAAACACUGUGAGCUAAAGGUAGUAGCUAAUGUCUGACGCCAUUAGCUCGUGUCCAGGGCCGCAGUGAAUUGUGGAAUUCUACCGUGCUAGUGAGCGAAAGGCAGAAGAGAUGAGACAGCUGCGUGGUGUGUGCGCCAUUCUGAGCGGACAUUACGUAUGCUUGUAUUAAAUCAAGGAGAUUGGUCAGGUUUUUUUCGGGGUCUUGGAACAUUCUAUUCCCUUUGUGAAACGAUCAUAAAUCAUUCCUGGAGUUUGAUGGCGAGCCUCCCAGCGGAUUCUUGAGUGGGAAGACCUGGAUGAUUUGGUCAGCAUACAAGCGUUACUACACUCCCAGUGUAGUCGACAAAGGAUUCACUACGCCUUCUGGUGCAGUAUCUUUUUCAUCAUCAUACUGGGACUGGACUUAAGUGGACUUCUGGGGUUUUGAUUUGACUUUUAUUGUUUUUUUGACUGGACUACAUUAGCACUGAUGAAGCUGUACAUGCACUGAAGAAAAAAUGCUAUCAUGGUAUUACCAGUAUUGUGAACCUUGAAUUCUUGUAUGGUUGAUUGAUUUGAGAGGGAUUGGGAUUUGAAUGUUAUCCGAUUGAAUUCCACUUCACAUUGGAUAUCCGAUUAGAUAGGGUGCACCCUAGGAUAUCACAGACAUAGACAGGAAAAAUACCCUAAGCAACCCAUUAUUCCAGAUUUACUGGUUCCUCACGAGGAGGGAUUACUUAGGUGGGUUUUGAUAGUGGCCUGUGAUUAAGAAGAGACUUAACACGGUUAAGCUUGGAUUAAUUUGGUUUAUUUAUUUUCCACGUGUUUAGCUAUUUUACUUAUUUAAAUUGUUUUGUGUAUGUGCAUAUGUUCAAUUGUAGUAAAACAUUGUUCAAGCAUAUAAUUUGUGGAAAUUCAAUUGAACACCACACAUUGCUCCAGCGGCCGAACCUAUUCUAGCUAUUGGCCCUUAAUCAGAGGUUGGCAACUUCUGAUCUAAUCACUUGGCAAGUGU
Long non-coding RNA from Monopterus albus (swamp eel), 1402 nucleotides. RefSeq lists it as uncharacterized. The record is from RefSeq and is a predicted model, not a curated record. NCBI's taxonomy places the organism in Eukaryota, Metazoa, Chordata, Actinopteri, Synbranchiformes, Synbranchidae. The transcript has 3 exons.